CAGAAGCUGAAAGCCAGCCACUAAGGAGAACAAUGCAAUCGUCCUUUACACCGUGCGCUGGCUGCUAAACGGGUACUAGUCACACAACAGACUCAUACUGCAAUGCAACAACAACAGAGGAAAGAGACAACAGUCGAUUUCACACCGGAGGGGAAAUAUAUUGCAUUGCACUCCUCCAAGCUAGUUAAUAGGAACAGCCCCGGUGCGGCAACAUCUCACGGUAGAAAACUCCGCUUGCAACAGGGCUGCAGCCCAAAUUCCCAGUGACCUUAGUGCGACAGAGGAGAGGAGUGCGGCGCCCACCCUAUGAGCCACCUGAGAAGAAGGAGAUUACAGUCCUAUGCCCUAUGGAGGGGAAAGGGAUGCAAUAUUUGCAGUGAGAUGGCUCCUAGGAGGAGAAAUGUGGCCCACACGGAGACAGACCUCACACAGGAAUGGGCCACCGUGCCUGCAAAGGGCCUCUUCUCCAUCCUAAUGAUUUGGAUCAUGAGGUUUAAGAACAAAUGCCCCUUGGAAUAGAACAGCACAACAAGCACAAAAAAAUGCCCUACCGGUACAGCAGUUGGAAGGAAGAGCUGCUUCUCCAAGACGCCAUCCCGGCCUAUCCUGACAAUCUCAUGGAGUUUGUGCAUCUUGUACUUUAUGAGAUUAUUGUUAUACAAGUGUCAGUGUGUGCUGUAUGAGUCACAAAUAAAACCACGCUUUCUUCAUCAA
This is a non-coding RNA of Caretta caretta (loggerhead turtle), 714 nucleotides long. The record is from RefSeq and is a predicted model, not a curated record. NCBI's taxonomy places the organism in Eukaryota, Metazoa, Chordata, Testudines, Cheloniidae.